CUGAAGAGAAAUUCUACCCUGGGACCUCUGCCCCCAAGGAAGUAAUUAAAAUCACCAUAGCCUGGGGUGACCAUCUAGAUAAUGGAGAUUGUAAUUUUGGCAUAAGAUGCCCUCUCUCGGCUGUAGAUUUUCAUCUAUAACACACAGGUGAGAUGAUCCUUCAGGGUUCCUGUUUCAUGAAAGAGUCUGGGAGGCAUUCU
Microtus oregoni (creeping vole) is the source of this 200-nucleotide long non-coding RNA. RefSeq lists it as uncharacterized. NCBI's taxonomy places the organism in Eukaryota, Metazoa, Chordata, Mammalia, Rodentia, Cricetidae. The transcript is spliced from 3 exons. The record is from RefSeq and is a predicted model, not a curated record.